UGUUGUAGAAUUUUCUCAAUUUAAGAUUCAACUUCUGGCUACUAUCUAUUUAAAAUUUCAAUUAAGAAAUAUUUCUGUAAAAAUAAGUGAUUCAUAACAAUGUUAUUAAAGAUUCAUAACGCCUCCGGGUGCGGGAAUUUCUCGCUACAUUGAAGACCUGUUGGUGACCCUCUGCUGUUGUUUUUUAUUUGGUCGGGUUGUUGUCUCUUUGACACAUUCCCCAUUUCCAUUCUCAAUUUUAUAACAAUGGCAGACUAAUUCAAUGUGGCCUUAUGGGUAAUUCAUCAUUUCACCUGUCAUUUGUAAUUGUAUCUCUUCAUAAACUGUGAUGUAUAAUUGUCAUAAAAAUAUAAUAUAUAUAAUGUUAUAAUUAUAUAGUUAUCUACAUCUCUGGUAAAUUGAAUAGAAUCUGCAUUAUUCUAAAACCUUGCAUAGCUAAAGUUUUAUAAUUAGAACUUAGUUUUGACAUCUAUUAAAAAAAAAAUUAAUUUUUUUUACAAAAUAUUUAUGUUUUACAAGUUAUGGGACAGAAUGAAAUUGUUAUCAAAUAAACAGCAACCUCAAAUUAUAAACAGUGAUAAAGAUUACAUUUUUCAUACAAUUCUUUAUUCUUGAAGAAACAUGAACAGGAUAUUAUAGCUGUUCCUUUUGCCGUUUUUUCGCCCCUACUAAUUUUUUUGAUGUCAGAAGAUAUACAAAAUUCUCCAGAUAUUUCCUUUGUUUAUGUAUCAUUUAUACAUAUGCUAUUUAUCACAUGAUUGUCAUGUGACAUGUUGCAUUGAAAUAUUU
RNAcentral lists this long non-coding RNA (789 nucleotides) under Mytilus galloprovincialis (Mediterranean mussel). Lineage: Eukaryota; Metazoa; Mollusca; Bivalvia; Mytilida; Mytilidae. The record is from RNAcentral.